This 497-nucleotide ribosomal RNA is filed under the name uncultured bacterium. RNAcentral's name for it is "partial 16S ribosomal RNA". It matches the Rfam family "Bacterial small subunit ribosomal RNA", at positions 28 to 507 of the family's 1533-position model. The record is from RNAcentral.
GAUGAACGCUGGCGGCGUGCCUAAUACAUGCAAGUCGAGCGAACGGACGGGAAGCUUGCUUUUCUGAUGUUAGCGGCGGACGGGUGAGUAACACGUGGAUAACCUACCUAUAAGACUGGGAUAACUUCGGGAAACCGGAGCUAAUACCGGAUAAUAUGUUGAACCUCAUGGUUCAAAAGUGAAAGACGGUCUUGCUGUCACUUAUAGAUGGAUCCGCGCUGCAUUAGCUAGUUGGUAAGGUAACGGCUUACCAAGGCAACGAUGCAUAGCCGAUCUGAGAGGGUGAUCGGCCACACUGGAACUGAGACACGGUCCAGACUCCUACGGGAGGCAGCAGUAGGGAAUCUUCCGCAAUGGGCGAAAGCCUGACCGAGCAACGCCGCGUGAGUGAUGAAGGUCUUCGGAUCGUAAAACUCUGUUAGUAGGGAAGAACAUAUGUGUAAGUAACUGUGCAUGUCUUGACGGUACCUAAUCAGAAAGCCACGGCUAACUACGUG